RNAcentral lists this ribosomal RNA (907 nucleotides) under uncultured bacterium. RNAcentral's name for it is "bacterial SSU rRNA". It matches the Rfam family "Bacterial small subunit ribosomal RNA", at positions 33 to 932 of the family's 1533-position model. The record is from RNAcentral.
ACGCUAGCGAUAGGCUUAACACAUGCAAGUCGAGGGGCAGCAUGGUCUUAGCUUGCUAAGACUGAUGGCGACCGGCGCACGGGUGCGUAACGCGUAUGCAACUUGCCUCACAGAGGGGGAUAACCCGUCGAAAGACGGACUAAUACCGCGUACACUCCACUUUGGGCAUCCAAAGUAGAGGAAAUGAAAUUCGCUGUGAGAUAGGCAUGCGUCCCAUUAGCUAGUUGGUGAGGUAACGGCUCACCAAGGCGACGAUGGGUAGGGGAACUGAGAGGUUGAACCCCCACACUGGUACUGAGACACGGACCAGACUCCUACGGGAGGCAGCAGUGAGGAAUAUUGGUCAAUGGGCGAGAGCCUGAACCAGCCAAGUCGCGUGAAGGAUGACUGUCUUAUGGAUUGUAAACUUCUUUUAUACGGGAAUAACAAGAGUCACGUGUGGCUCCCUGCAUGUACCGUAUGAAUAAGCAUCGGCUAACUCCGUGCCAGCAGCCGCGGUAAUACGGAGGAUGCGGGCGUUAUCCGGAUUUAUUGGGUUUAAAGGGUGCGUAGACGGCCUGUUAAGUCAGCGGUGAAAUCUAGGAGCUUAACUCCUAAAUUGCCAUUGAUACUGGCGGGCUUGAGUGUAGAUGAGGUAGGCGGAAUGCGUGGUGUAGCGGUGGAAUGCAUAGAUAUCACGCAGAACUCCGAUUGCGAAGGCAGCUUACUAAGGUACAACUGACGCUGAAGCACGAAAGCGUGGGUAUCAAACAGGAUUAGAUACCCUGGUAGUCCACGCAGUAAACGAUGAUAACUGGGCGUAUGCGAUAUACAGUAUGCUCCUAAGCGAAAGCGUUAAGUUAUCCACCUGGGGAGUACGCCGGCAACGGUGAAACUCAAAGGAAUUGACGGGGGCCCGCACAAGCGG